UGAAGAACGUACGCGCCGGUGUUGAUCGUUUAUCCCGUCAUGUGUCCAUGUUUGAAAGUAGAAUUUACAGUAACUAAAAUACUUUGACACUUGUCAGUUAUAAAAGUAAGUGGUCGCAAAAUAAACAAAUGUUUCCAGUAAGUCAGCUUUUCAAUGCGGGGAGGACAAUUACCUGUAAAUGUGGGAAACUAACGCCGUCACAUCUAUGGGGGUUUUGCUCGUUUCCCUGUCACUCUGCUGCCGAAGUUGUGAGGAAAGGAGCCGCCAAAAAGCAGGUAAUCAAAAAACACACAAAAGAAAGAACUCCAUGUCAACAAGUACUGGAUGUCUUUGACCAGCAGUACAGUCAGGAUCUUGGAGACUUGUGGGCAUCUGCAAGAUCACUGCUCCUGGAUCCUCGAUCCUGGCAAUAUGGUGUCAUGCUCAACCGCUUUACAGCCGGGACAGAUGUUAGACAGAUUCUCCAGUCGCAGGGUUUUUCCAUGUUCCUGCCACCAACAGAAGUGUCCACGCGGCUCUCUGAUGCCUCUGAAAAGCAGACAGGGAAAGACUCUCUGAUGUCAACACGUGGCGUCUCCACGUGUCCUCCUGUUGACUCCCAUCCCCAGUGUGACAGCACCUCUCAUGUGCUCAGUCAGGACCUUCAAUCAGAGCUGUUUCUCACUUCACCCCGUCCUUCACUGCAGUGUUACAUCCACCCAUACCCACACAGAUUUCCCUCCCAGCCUCACAGGCCGGGCCAGCUGAAGCAGUACUACCUUCUGAAUGCUGCCUCUCUGCUCCCAGUGCUGGCUUUGCAAGUCAAAGAUGGGGAAAAGGUUUUGGAUCUUUGCUCUGCUCCUGGUGGCAAAGCCUUGGCCAUAAUGCAGUGUGCCACGCCAGAUCUUCUCUGCUGUAAUGAACCGGAUCCUCACAGGCGGAACUGGCUGACAAAAACUCUGGAGUCUUUUCUGCCUCACUCGCAGCACAACAAAGUGAUCGUGUCUGCUCAGGAUGGGCAGUGCUUUGGGCAGAGUGAAGCUGUAACAUAUGACAAGGUUUUAGUCGAUGCUCCGUGUUCUAAUGACAGGAGCUGGCUGUAUUCUAGCAGCAGCCAGCAGGGGGAGCAGAGACUGAAGGAAAGAGCCGGACUGCCUACUCUCCAGACUCGGCUGCUUAAGUCUGCGCUGUCACUGGUGCGUCCAGGAGGCCUCGUGGUCUAUUCAACUUGCACAUUGUCCAACUCUGAGAACUAUGCUGUGGUCGAGACGGUGCUGAGAGACUGUCCUGAGGCUGAACCCGAAGACCUGUGGGAGGAGAUUGCCAUUCCUUAUUCUAAACACUUUGCUUUUGGCCCUGCUUACCCUGGUCAUGGACAGACGUCUCACCACAGACUCGGCAUCUUAGUUGUUCCUCAGCCUGGCAAGACCUGGGGACCCAUGUUUUUGUCUCGGAUUAGAAAGAGGACAUAGUAGGUACCAAAACAAAAAAGAACACACUUGUUUUCUUUGUGCAAUAAUCACAUGGCAGCACCUCAAAGCUUUUAGUCGUGUAGACAUGGUCAGGACGACCUGCUCGAGUUCAAGCGGAGCGUCACAAUGGGGAGAAAAGGUGACGUAAGAGACUUUGAACGUGACAUGGUUGUCGGUGCCAGACGGGCUGCUCUGAGUAUUUCAGAAACUACUCGUCUGCGGGGCUUUUUAUGCAUAACCGUCUCUAAUUUUACAGAGAAUGGUCUGAUGCUUUGUUGAUGCCAGAGGUCAGAAGGAAAUGGCCAGACUGGUUCAAAAUGAUAGAAAGGCAAACGUAAGUAAGGUUCCAACCAAAAUAUGUAGAUUUCUGAAAGCACUUGAGGCAGCAGACGACCACACCAGGCACCACUCCUGACUCUGUUAGGUGUCGUUUGUACCUAAUAAAGUGGCCGGGAGUGAAAGACUUGAACGAGGAGGAUCAUCACGACCGAAGCUCACAUUCAGGAUUUUCAUCUUGCACGCCGUGACUCGGUUAAUGAGGAGUAAUCUUCGGCUCUGUUCAGUGCGUCUGAAAAGCUGCAUCAUCUCCUCUAGUGGCUCAUUACCUGUGUGGUCAUGCUCGAGUGAGAAGUAGAUGCAGUCGCAGUGUUGAAGCUUCUCAUCAGGUGACAAAGAAACUUUCACCGGUUCCACCCGACAGAUGCCUCUGACCUUCAUGUGGAGAGAAAAAGGCUUCAAACGUUGUUGGAGUGGACACUCCUGGGCCUGGAGGGAAAGCAUGAAUAAUAGAUUCUUCACCCAAAGGGGGGAAAAAGGACAAUGGAAGUCAGACACACGAGGUAUGAAGGGGAGGAUUAAAACUCAAUUUUCGGCCAAUACUUUGAGGUAAAAAGGUCAUAAAAACUUUAGGGGAUUGGAGUGGAUGGGGAGAUGACACCCUCAAAUUAAGAACAUAUUCAUGUGUAAUUCAAGUAUAUUGCAGGGGCCCUCCUGGUGCAUACUUUUAAAAGCUGUAAAUGGGAUAUUCAAUAGCCUAUUCAUCACAUUUUACGCGUGCACUUAAGCACUUAUAUAUAAUAUAUUUAUUAUUCAUACUCCGGCGGCAGCCGUCGUGAAAUGUGUGCAGCUGUAAAGUGGUACAGGAUGUCACCUCUCUCUCUCUCUCUAUGUGCUUCUUCACACCCUCUCUGUUUAUAUUUUUGUUCAAGUUUGCCGUCAAACGUCUGACACUGAUGCAGUGCCCGCAGUAAUCAGCUGGUCGUGUUUUUGGGGCUUAUUUCAUCCACAUGCGGCACCCCAAUCGAUUUUAUAUGGCCCAACCCCUUAAUUUCUAAUUCUUCUAGAUUAUAGACUAUUAUAGAAUAUAACACUAGGUACGACUGUUUGCUAUUGUCAUGAACAGUGAGAAUAUUUUUCGAUAAUAAUACCUAAGGUUA
RNA transcript from Solea solea (common sole), 2887 nucleotides. It is a transcript of the gene named NOP2/Sun RNA methyltransferase 3, with no coding region annotated. Lineage: Eukaryota; Metazoa; Chordata; Actinopteri; Pleuronectiformes; Soleidae. The transcript has 10 exons. The record is from RefSeq and is a predicted model, not a curated record.